CCUACGCGCUGCAGCAGUGGGGAAUAUUGGACAAUGGGCGAAAGCCUGAUCCAGCCAUGCCGCGUGUGUGAAGAAGGCCUUCGGGUUGUAAAGCACUUUCAGUGGGGAAGAAAGCCUUGGGGCUAAUACCCUCGAGGAAGGACAUCACCCACAGAAGAAGCACCGGCUAACUCCGUGCCAGCAGCCGCGGUAAUACGGAGGGUGCGAGCGUUAAUCGGAAUUACUGGGCGUAAAGCGCGCGUAGGCGGUCUGAUAAGCCGGUUGUGAAAGCCCCGGGCUCAACCUGGGAACGGCAUCCGGAACUGUCAGGCUAGAGUGCAGGAGAGGAAGGUAGAAUUCCCGGUGUAGCGGUGAAAUGCGUAGAGAUCGGGAGGAAUACCAGUGGCGAAGGCGGCCUUCUGGACUGACACUGACGCUGAGGUGCGAAAGCGUGGGUAGCAAACAGGAUUAGAUACCCCAGUGUC
This 464-nucleotide ribosomal RNA is filed under the name Vreelandella stevensii. RNAcentral's name for it is "partial 16S ribosomal RNA". It matches the Rfam family "Bacterial small subunit ribosomal RNA", at positions 338 to 795 of the family's 1533-position model. The record is from RNAcentral. Lineage: Bacteria; Pseudomonadati; Pseudomonadota; Gammaproteobacteria; Oceanospirillales; Halomonadaceae.